AUUGAACGCUGGCGGCAGGCUUAACACAUGCAAGUCGAACGAGUGGCGGACGGGUGAGUAAUGCUUGGGAAUCUCGCUUUUGGAGGGGGAUACCUACGGGAAACUGUAGUUAUUACCGCGUACCUUAGGAUGAGCCCAAGUGGGAUUAGGUAGUUGGGGAAGUAAAGGCUCACCAAGCCGACGAUCUCUCGCUGGUCCGAGAGGAUGACCGGCCACACUGGGACGGAGACACGGCCCAGACUCCUACGGGAGGCAGCAGUGGGAAAUAUUGCGCAUGGGGGGCAACCUAACGCGGACAGGCGGCGUGAAUGAAGAGGGCCUUGGAGAUGUAAGGUUCGUUCGGUGGCGAGACGUUAACUACAGAGGAAGCACCGGCUAACUCCGUGCCAGCAGCCGCGGUAAUUC
This 405-nucleotide ribosomal RNA is filed under the name uncultured bacterium. RNAcentral describes it as "partial 16S ribosomal RNA". It matches the Rfam family "Bacterial small subunit ribosomal RNA", at positions 30 to 526 of the family's 1533-position model. The record is from RNAcentral.